RNAcentral lists this ribosomal RNA (1441 nucleotides) under Dichomeris ustalella. Its description in RNAcentral is "16S ribosomal RNA". Lineage: Eukaryota; Metazoa; Arthropoda; Insecta; Lepidoptera; Gelechiidae. The record is from RNAcentral.
AAGAAAAAAAUUAAUAAAUUUUAAAAUUAAUAAAAAAAUUUUUUAAUAAAAUAAUAUUUAAUGGGGGUUAAAGUAUUAUUAAGAAAAAAUUUUUAAUUUUAUAAAGAAUUAGUAUUGAAAAAGAAAUUUGAAAUAUUAUGAAAAUAAAUUUUUAUUAAAGUAAUUUUAAUUUAAUGUAUCUUGUGUAUCAGAGUUUAUUAAAUAUAAUUUUUAAAAAAAAAAUUCUCGAAUUUAAAAGAGUUAAUUAAUUAUAAAAUUUAUUGUUGAAUAAAUAUUUUUAAUAAUUAAUUUGAAAUGAAAUGUUAAUCGUUUAUAAAUAUAUCUAGUUUUUUUAGAAAAAAAUUUAAUUUUAAAAUUUAUUAAAAAUAAAUUUAAUAUAAAAAUAAAUAAUAAGAAAAAAUUAUUUUAAUUAAUUAAUUUAUUUUUUUUUUAAAUUUUAAUAAUUUAAGGGAUAAGCUUUAAAUUAAAAAUAUUUAUAAUUUAAUUUAAAAAUAUUAAAAAAUUUUAUAAUUUAAAUUAUUAAUAAAUUUUAAUUUUUUAUAAAUAAUUUUAAUAAAAGAAAAAUUUAAAUUAAAUUUAAUUUUUUAUAAAAAAAUUUUUUUUAAAGAUAAAAAUAAAGUUAUAAUGAUAAAAUUAGUAUAUAAAAUAAAUUUAAAAUUAUUUAUUAAAAAUAAUUUUUAAUAAUAAUAAUAAAAUUUAAAUUUAAUAAAAUUAAUUAAAAGGAAUUCGGCAAAAUUAUAUAUUCACUUGUUUAUCAAAAACAUGUCCUUUUGAGAAUAAUUUAAGGUCUAAUCUGCCCACUGAUAUAGUAUUGAAGGGCUGCAGUAUAUUGACUGUACAAAGGUAGCAUAAUCAUUAGUCUCUUAAUUAGUGACUUGUAUGAAGGAUUGGAUGAAAUAUAAACUGUCUCUUAAUUAUUAAUGUAUAAUUUAAUUUUUUAAUUAAAAAGUUAAAAUAAAUUUAAAAGACGAGAAGACCCUAUAGAGUUUAAUAAUUUUAUUAAAAAUUAUUUAUUUAUAAAUAAUUAAAUAAUAAUUGAUAAAAUUAUUUUAUUGGGGUGAUAGAAAAAUUAAUAAAACUUUUUUUAAUUUAAUACAUAAAUAAGUGAAAUAAAGAUCCAAUAUUUUUGAUUAUAAGAAAAAAUUACCUUAGGGAUAACAGCGUAAUUUUUUUUUUUAGUUCAUAUAAAAAAAAAAGUUUGCGACCUCGAUGUUGGAUUAAGAUAAAAUUUAAAUGCAAAAGUUUAAAAUUUUGAUCUGUUCGAUCAUUAAAAUCUUACAUGAUCUGAGUUCAAACCGGUGUAAGCCAGGUUGGUUUCUAUCUUUAGAAAAAUAAAAUAUUUUAGUACGAAAGGAUCAAAUAUUUAAAAUAAUUUUUAUAUUAAUUGAAUUUUAAUAAAAAAUAAUAUAUAUAUAUAUAUAUAUAUAUUAUAAUUAGAAAU